RNAcentral lists this ribosomal RNA (460 nucleotides) under uncultured bacterium. RNAcentral describes it as "partial 16S ribosomal RNA". It matches the Rfam family "Bacterial small subunit ribosomal RNA", at positions 338 to 795 of the family's 1533-position model. The record is from RNAcentral.
CCUACGGGAGGCAGCAGUGAGGAAUAUUGGUCAAUGGCCGGGAGGCUGAACCAGCCAAGUCGCGUGAGGGAAGACGGCCCUACGGGUUGUAAACCUCUUUUGUCAGGGAGCAAGGUGCAGGUCGGGACCUGCUGUGAGAGUACCUGAAGAAAAAGCAUCGGCUACCUCCGUGCCAGCAGCCGCGGUAAUACGGAGGAUGCGAGCGUUGUCCGGAAUUACUGGGUGUAAAGGGAGCGCAGGCGGGAAGCCAAGUCAGCUGUGAAAACUACGGGCUUAACUUGUAGACUGCAGUUGAAACUGGUUUUCUUGAGUGAAGUAGAGGUUGGCGGAAUUCCGAGUGUAGCGGUGAAAUGCGUAGAUAUUCGGAGGAACACCGGUGGCGAAGGCGGCCAACUGGGCUUUAACUGACGCUGAGGCUCGAAAGUGUGGGGAGCAAACAGGAUUAGAUACCCCAGUAGUC